Molecule: unclassified non-coding RNA, 249 nt
Filed under: uncultured fungus
Lineage: Eukaryota; Fungi
Description: partial contains 5.8S ribosomal RNA, internal transcribed spacer 2, and large subunit ribosomal RNA
Source: RNAcentral
AACGCACAUUGCGCCCCUUGGUAUUCCAUUGGGCAUGCCUGUUCGAGCGUCAUUUACACCCUCAAGCUCCCGCUUGGUGUUGGGCGUCUGUCCCCGCAUAUGUCGUGGACUCGCCCCAAAUCCAUUGGCAGCGGCUUCGCCGGCUUCUUGCGCAGCACUUUGCGCUUCAGAAUGCAUUUGGCGGGGUUGCAUCCAUCAAGUCACCUCCAUUUUGACCUCGAAUCAGGUAGGGAUACCCGCUGAACUUAA